RNAcentral lists this ribosomal RNA (377 nucleotides) under uncultured bacterium. RNAcentral describes it as "bacterial SSU rRNA". It matches the Rfam family "Bacterial small subunit ribosomal RNA", at positions 335 to 702 of the family's 1533-position model. The record is from RNAcentral.
ACUCCUACGGGAGGCAGCAGUGGGGAAUAUUGCACAAUGGGCAGCCAAGCCUGAUGCAGCCAUGCCGCGUGUAUGAAGAAGGCCUUCGGGUUGAUAAAGUACUUUCAGCAGUGAGGAGUGGUAUGUUAAUAGCAUACUUCAUUUGACGUUAGCUGCAGAAGAAGCACCGGCUAACUCCGUGCCAGCAGCCGCGGUAAUACGGAGGGUGCGAGCGUUAAUCGGAAUUACUGGGCGUAAAGCGCAUGCAGGUGGUUUGUUAAGUCAGAUGUGAAAGCCCGGGGCUCAACCUCGGAAUUGCAUUUGAAACUGGCAAAGCUAGAGUACUGUAGAGGGGGGUAGAAUUUCAGGUGUAGCGGUGAAAUGCGUAGAGAUCUGAA